GAUGAACGCUGGCGGCGUGCUUAACACAUGCAAGUCGAACGGAAGGGCCCAAGCUUGCUUGGGUACUCGAGUGGCGAACGGGUGAGUAACACGUGGGUGAUCUGCCCUGCACUUCGGGAUAAGCCUGGGAAACUGGGUCUAAUACCGGAUAGGACGAUGGUUUGGAUGCCAUUGUGGAAAGUUUUUUCGGUGUGGGAUGAGCUCGCGGCCUAUCAGCUUGUUGGUGGGGUAAUGGCCUACCAAGGCGUCGACGGGUAGCCGGCCUGCGAGGGUGUACGGCCACAUUGGGACUGAGAUACGGCCCAGACUCCUACGGGAGGCAGCAGUGGGGAAUACUGCACAAUGGGCGCAAGCCUGAUGCAGCGACGCCGCGUGGGGGAUGACGGCCUUCGGGUUGUAAACUCCUUUCGCUAGGGACGAAGCGUUUUUGUGACGGUACCUGGAGAAGAAGCACCGGCUAACUACGUG
RNAcentral lists this ribosomal RNA (468 nucleotides) under uncultured bacterium. Its description in RNAcentral is "partial 16S ribosomal RNA". It matches the Rfam family "Bacterial small subunit ribosomal RNA", at positions 28 to 507 of the family's 1533-position model. The record is from RNAcentral.